AUGAACGCUGGCGGCGUGCCUAAUACAUGCACGUCGAGCGAACGGACGAGAAGCUUGCUUCUCUGAUGUUAGCGGCGGACGGGUGAGUAACACGUGGAUAACCUACCUAUAAGACUGGGAUAACUUCGGGAAACCGGAGCUAAUACCGGAUAAUAUUUUGAACCGCAUGGUUCAAAAGUGAAAGACGGUCUUGCUGUCACCUAUAGAUGGAUCCGCGCUGCAUUAGCUAGUUGGUAAGGUAACGGCUUACCAAGGCAACGAUGCAUAGCCGACCUGAGAGGGUGAUCGGCCACACUGGAACUGAGACACGGUCCAGACUCCUACGGGAGGCAGCAGUAGGGAAUCUUCCGCAAUGGGCGAAAGCCUGACGGAGCAACGCCGCGUGAGUGAUGAAGGUCUUCGGAUCGUAAAACUCUGUUAUUAGGGAAGAACAUAUGUGUAAGUAACUGUGCACAUCUUGACGGUACCUAAUCAGAAAGCCACGGCUAACUACGUG
RNAcentral lists this ribosomal RNA (496 nucleotides) under uncultured bacterium. Its description in RNAcentral is "partial 16S ribosomal RNA". It matches the Rfam family "Bacterial small subunit ribosomal RNA", at positions 29 to 507 of the family's 1533-position model. The record is from RNAcentral.